UUUUGCCGACCUGGUGGUUAUCGCGGGGCGGCUGCACCCGUUCCCUUUCCGAACACGGCCGUGAAACGCCCCAGCGCCAAUGGUACUUCGUCUCAAGACGCGGGAGAGUAGGUCGCUGCCAGGUCUGCAAAACGCAACACAAA
This 143-nucleotide ribosomal RNA is filed under the name Agrobacterium tumefaciens. The record is from RNAcentral. Lineage: Bacteria; Pseudomonadati; Pseudomonadota; Alphaproteobacteria; Hyphomicrobiales; Rhizobiaceae.